GAUGAACGCUGGCGGCGUGCCUAAUACAUGCAAGUCGAGCGAAUGGAUUAAGAGCUUGCUCUUAUGAAGUUAGCGGCGGACGGGUGAGUAACACGUGGGUAACCUGCCCAUAAGACUGGGAUAACUCCGGGAAACCGGGGCUAAUACCGGAUAACAUUUUGAACCGCAUGGCUCGAAAUUGAAAGGCGGCUUCGGCUGUCACUUAUGGAUGGACCCGCGUCGCAUUAGCUAGUUGGUGAGGUAACGGCUCACCAAGGCAACGAUGCGUAGCCGGCCUGAGAGGGUGAUCGGCCACACUGGGACUGAGACACGGUCCAGACUCCUACGGGAGGCAGCAGUAGGGAAGCUUCCGCAAUGGACGAAAGUCUGACGGAGCAACGCCGCGUGAGUGAUGAAGGCUUUCGGGUCGUAAAACUCUGUUGUUAGGGAAGAACAAGUGCUAGUUGAAUAAGCUGGCACCUUGACGGUACCUAACCAGAAAGCCACGGCUAACUACGUGCCAGCCGCCGCCGUAA
RNAcentral lists this ribosomal RNA (515 nucleotides) under uncultured bacterium. Its description in RNAcentral is "partial 16S ribosomal RNA". It matches the Rfam family "Bacterial small subunit ribosomal RNA", at positions 28 to 523 of the family's 1533-position model. The record is from RNAcentral.